GGUAUGUUUAAGUAAUAACACCGUUUUAAAAUUUCUUUUAUCAUUAACCUAAAUGUAAUUUUCUAGUCUGAAACACCAAAGAAAAACUUAGUCCAAAAUUAAUUCUCACUAUCGUUGCAUUAGUGUUUUAACAACUGAUAAACCAAAAUACACUUUCCUACAUUGGUUUUAAGUGCAAAUUAAAACAACAUUGUAGCUAAUUUGAAAUUCCUUUACAGAUAAAACGGUGGCUACCAACACGAAAGGGUAGAAAACCAUCCGAAUAACGAAGACCUCUAUACUGUAGUUAACACAACUGUUCUAAAGGUCUAUGUUAGUUGGAUGCAUAAAUCUAACACGCUUCCGUAGUGAAAAUAUCGUAAAGCGCCAUCUAUUAGCAUGGAUCUGGGUUAAGGCGACUGGAAACGGACCACAGAUUGUUUAGUGGCGGACGAAAUCUCUAGCAAAAGGCUAGUCAAAGCUACAUAGUGGGACCACAGGGAGAGUGAGUGCGGAAAGUUCCAGUGUGUUGCUUGGAGGUCCCGGAACCUUCGUCUAUGUCACUAGAGGAUGGCUACCGAGGGAGUUUUGGUGGGUUAAAUCCUACAUAACCCUGCCUUUCCAGAAGGCAAGGUAUCUUUUGAAGAUUUCCUCCCCGACAAUCAAAAAAAAGAUUGUUACUGUUGCUGUUGCAUGAUUUCACACACUGGUCGAUGCGAGGGCGCAUAAGACGUUGCGCUGACUGAUUUUAGGGGCGGUCUUGUACGUUGAGUGGGAGAAACGCGGAUCGGUUUCGCAGCCCAGCAAAAAGCGCUGUUUAGCGAACAGUU
Long non-coding RNA from Papilio polytes (common Mormon), 809 nucleotides. RefSeq lists it as uncharacterized. The transcript is spliced from 4 exons. The record is from RefSeq and is a predicted model, not a curated record. NCBI's taxonomy places the organism in Eukaryota, Metazoa, Arthropoda, Insecta, Lepidoptera, Papilionidae.